RNAcentral lists this ribosomal RNA (253 nucleotides) under uncultured bacterium. Its description in RNAcentral is "partial 16S ribosomal RNA". It matches the Rfam family "Bacterial small subunit ribosomal RNA", at positions 524 to 776 of the family's 1533-position model. The record is from RNAcentral.
UACGGAGGGUGCAAGCGUUACUCGGAAUUACUGGGCGUAAAGCGUGCGUAGGUGGUUUGUUAAGUCUGAUGUGAAAGCCCUGGGCUCAACCUGGGAAUUGCAUUGGAUACUGGCAGGCUAGAGUGCGGUAGAGGAUGGCGGAAUUCCCGGUGUAGCAGUGAAAUGCGUAGAGAUCGGGAGGAACAUCUGUGGCGAAGGCGGCCAUCUGGACCAGCACUGACACUGAGGCACGAAAGCGUGGGGAGCAAACAGG